This is a microRNA precursor of Nicotiana attenuata, 96 nucleotides long. It matches the Rfam family "MIR6152 microRNA precursor family". The record is from Rfam. NCBI's taxonomy places the organism in Eukaryota, Viridiplantae, Streptophyta, Magnoliopsida, Solanales, Solanaceae.
UGGACAGAUUAUUGUAUUCUACUGUAUUCACGGCGUGAAACAGGGGAUUACAUUGUUUUUAAACGGAAAGUGAAUCAAUUAACAUAAUAGACUCCU